Long non-coding RNA from Dioscorea cayenensis subsp. rotundata (Guinea yam), 419 nucleotides. RefSeq lists it as uncharacterized. The record is from RefSeq and is a predicted model, not a curated record. Lineage: Eukaryota; Viridiplantae; Streptophyta; Magnoliopsida; Dioscoreales; Dioscoreaceae. The transcript has 2 exons.
UAUGUUAUCUCUAGAUCUUUUCUUCAUUCCAUUUUAAUUCAUUUGUGUUCCUUGUCUUCAUGUUUCUAGGGUUAGGGUUAAGGUUCAUUGAUUCUAGGUAUCAAAUGCUGUUAGGAGAUGAAGGUGGUGGAGAAGCUCUUGCUGAUGACUCUCCGUUACAAGAGUUGUGCACAAGUUUCGAUGAAAUAAGUGGAGGAUGAGUGAUAAGAUUCAUAUGGAUGACAGAGUUGUUUACAAGUCUCAAUGGAGUAAGUGGAGGUAGAGUUCACGCAUAUACAGAUAUUGAGACCACUCGCAUACAACCAUAAUUUGCUCUUUUAAAAAUAUACUAUUAUGAAAAAUUUUAACGAGAAUCUGAAUACCAAUACAUCAUUUUGUCGUUGGUUUUGUAUUCGGAAAUUUUGAAUUACUUUUGUUGA